UACGUAGGGCGCAAGCGUUGUCCGGAAUUAUUGGGCGUAAAGAGCUCGUAGGCGGCUUGUCACGUCGGGUGUGAAAGCCCGGGGCUUAACCCCGGGUCUGCAUUCGAUACGGGCUAGCUAGAGUGUGGUAGGGGAGAUCGGAAUUCCUGGUGUAGCGGUGAAAUGCGCAGAUAUCAGGAGGAACACCGGUGGCGAAGACGGAUCUCUGGGCCAUUACUGACGCUGAGGAGCGAAAGCGUGGGGAGCGAACAGG
This 253-nucleotide ribosomal RNA is filed under the name uncultured bacterium. RNAcentral describes it as "partial 16S ribosomal RNA". It matches the Rfam family "Bacterial small subunit ribosomal RNA", at positions 524 to 776 of the family's 1533-position model. The record is from RNAcentral.